RNAcentral lists this ribosomal RNA (253 nucleotides) under uncultured bacterium. RNAcentral describes it as "partial 16S ribosomal RNA". It matches the Rfam family "Bacterial small subunit ribosomal RNA", at positions 524 to 776 of the family's 1533-position model. The record is from RNAcentral.
UACGUAGGGGGCUAGCGUUGCUCGGAAUCACUGGGCGUAAAGCGCACGUAGGCGGAUUGCUAAGUCAGGGGUGAAAUCCUGGAGCUCAACUCCAGAACUGCCUUUGAUACUGCAAAUCUCGAGUCCGGAAGAGGUGAGUGGAAUUCCUAGUGUAGAGGUGAAAUUCGUAGAUAUUAGGAAGAACACCAGUGGCGAAGGCGGCUCACUGGUCCGGUACUGACGCUGAGGUGCGAAAGCGUGGGGAGCAAACAGG